This 253-nucleotide ribosomal RNA is filed under the name uncultured bacterium. RNAcentral's name for it is "partial 16S ribosomal RNA". It matches the Rfam family "Bacterial small subunit ribosomal RNA", at positions 524 to 776 of the family's 1533-position model. The record is from RNAcentral.
UACAGAGGGUGCAAGCGUUGUUCGGAAUUAUUGGGCGUAAAGCGCGUGUAGGCGGCUUGGCAAGUCGGGUGUGAAAGCCCUCAGCUCAACUGAGGAAGUGCGCCCGAAACUGCUUGGCUUGAGUACCGGAGAGGAUGGUGGAAUUCCCCAAGUAGAGGUGAAAUUCGUAGAUAUGGGGAGGAACACCGGUGGCGAAGGCGACCAUCUGGACGGAUACUGACGCUGAGACGCGAAAGCGUGGGUAGCAAACAGG